This 1098-nucleotide ribosomal RNA is filed under the name Oxythemis phoenicosceles. RNAcentral describes it as "partial 16S ribosomal RNA". The record is from RNAcentral. Lineage: Eukaryota; Metazoa; Arthropoda; Insecta; Odonata; Libellulidae.
CUUUGUGUUUAGUAUAAAUAAAGAAAAACUGUUGUUUGUUAAAGUGAAUUAGUACUGUGGAGGAAUUGAUGAAAUAAAAAUUAAUUUAAUUNNNNGUAAGUAUGUUUAUUUUGCAGUCCUUUUGUAUCAGGGUGAUCAAAUAGAUUAAUUUAUUUUUAUAUCUCGAUUUUAAAUGAUCUAAUUUAUUAUUUUAGUUAAUGUGGAAUAAUUAUUGGUAAUAUAAAUUAGGGGAGAAAUUUUAUUCGAAUUUAAAGGUAUCUAGUUUUUUAAGAAAUAAAUUUAAUUUAAUUUCAUUAUUUAAUUGUUGUAUAGUUGCAUAUAUUAUUGGAUGAAUUAAAAAUUAUAGGGGAUAAGCUCUAUAUUUUUUCUAUAAUUUUUUUAAUUAAUUAAUUUUUGUAGGUUUAAGAUUAUUCAUCAUUAGAAAGUGUGUUAUAAUUUAUUUUUGUUAUUAAUUAAUUUUAUUAUAUUUAGUUUAAUAUUAAAAUAUUGGGUUAAAUAAAAUAUCUUGAGUAAUAAUGAUUAAAUUAGUAUAGAUUAUUGUUUAUAUGAUUGUUUAUUUUAUGAUAAAAUAAGGAACUCGGCAAAUAUAGUUCUCGCCUGUUUACCAAAAACAUGGCCUUUUGGAGUUAAUUGAAGGUCUGACCUGCCCAGUGAUGAAUUUAACGGCCGCGGUAUAUUGACCGUGCAAAGGUAGCAUAAUCAUUAGUCUUUUAAUAGAGGGCUGGAAUGAAAGGUUUAACGAGGAACUAACUGUCUCAUUUUAUUUGUUUUAAAAUUUAAUUUUUUAGUUAAAAAGCUAAAAUUUUAUUGGAAGACGAGAAGACCCUAUAGAUCUUUACAUGGGCUAAAUUAAAUAUUUUUAUAUUAAUAGUUUAUUUUUGUUUGUGUUUUGUUGGGGUGACAAAAAUAUAUAUAUAACUUUUUUAAUUAUUUAACAUUGAUUUAUGAUUAUUAGAUCCAUUAUUAUUGAUUGAUAGAUUAAGUUACCUUAGGGAUAACAGCGUAAUCCUCCCCCAGAGUUCAUAUUUACGGGAUGGGCUUGCGACCUCGAUGUUGGAUUAAGAUUAUAAUUAGGUGUAGCCGCUUAGUCAAUAGGUC